GCCCCCGUAGCUUAGUGGUCAGCAUUUGAUACUUCUUCUCAGCGUUUGAUUUUCCCAGCGAAUAGAGUUACGGCAGUGAAAGACAUCGGUUCAAAUCCGAUCGCGGACA
Molecule: non-coding RNA, 109 nt
Organism: Podospora fimiseda
Lineage: Eukaryota; Fungi; Ascomycota; Sordariomycetes; Sordariales; Podosporaceae
Source: the annotation of a GenBank genome assembly